GGGCUAUUAGCUCAGGUGGUUAGAGCGCACCCCUGAUAAGGGUGAGGUCCCUGGUUCGAAUCCAGGAUGGCCCA
This 74-nucleotide transfer RNA is filed under the name Nostoc sp. RNAcentral's name for it is "tRNA-Ile". It matches the Rfam family "tRNA". From Rfam's summary of the family: Transfer RNA (tRNA) molecules are approximately 80 nucleotides in length. Their secondary structure includes four short double-helical elements and three loops (D, anti-codon, and T loops). Lineage: Bacteria; Bacillati; Cyanobacteriota; Cyanophyceae; Nostocales; Nostocaceae. RNAcentral also lists the same sequence under 10 other names. The record is from RNAcentral.